Oreochromis aureus is the source of this 8825-nucleotide long non-coding RNA. The record is from Ensembl. NCBI's taxonomy places the organism in Eukaryota, Metazoa, Chordata, Actinopteri, Cichliformes, Cichlidae.
CAGAAGGGAGGGGCAGAAAUACAGUCCAGAAGAUGUAAUAUGUCUGGGUUAGAUGCCCCUCUUUGCUUUUUCUAUUCAAGUCUGAUAGAUGGCAGUGCCUCUGACACUGUGCUGUCAGUGGGCCACCGGCAGACAGAGCUGGACGAAUCUGCUCAGUCCUGGAUUCAGCUUAUAAAGAGAGCUUUUGUCAGCUUGGGGUGUUUUGUGGAUUGAACGGGUAGUUUGUCCGAUGAGGGACGGAUACCGCAACAAAGAAGAAUUCAAUGUCCCUGGGAAGUCUUCAUCAGUGGCUAAAGUCCAGGAACGGAGCCCAGAACAGGCAAGAGGAGCAGACUGGACUGGCCACAGUGAGAAUUUGGAGCUUGUGGACUAGCAAUGGACAGCUGGACUCUCCAGGGGGACAGCUACUCCUUCCUGCGUAGUGCCCCCCGCACCUUUUCCCUUUGCCAUCGUGACGGCACCCCCAACCACGUUGAAAUAUUCGACAUUAUCAACAUCCCUUCUCAGCGCAGCGCCAUCUCUGAGACCACCUGCCUGUGUGACAUUUUCGGAGACGACUGUGAGUCGGCGUCUCUCUCAAGCAGCCCCGCUGUAGGGCCCUUUGUCCCUUCCCAGAGGGAGGUGGAUGGGACGGCUGCUGCGUCACCUCUGUUGGACGAGCUGAACGAUUCCUCUGGCUCUUACCACACUGCACAGGGCUCCAGUGAAGGCGAGGAAGGCUUUGAAGAUUCGAGAGAAAAGUUUUACAGUCCCCCACUGCAGAGGCUUCUGGAGGCCAAAGGGCUGAGCUCUAGACAUCCAGAAGUUUCUGAGGACAGCAGCGCAAAUUCACAACCAAGAAGUAAAUCACCAGCACCUCGGCUUAGCACAGCCAGCCCUUCUUUCCAAAAUCCCAGCACUGGUGAGAGGACACCUUCUCCCGAACAUAACAGCCCCUGUAUCUUCAGUCCAGAGAGAAGACUAUCAUCUUUGUCCUCCUCCUCGGCUGAAAGAAGACCUUCAUCGUCCUCACCUGAUCCAAAACAAACGCUUUCACAAGCUGAACCAUUAAGAACAACUCCUUCAUUCAAAGACAGCAACAGCAGCCCGUCACAUCAGUCUCUAACUCCAAGUCCCUCUCUUGAACCCAGAAACUCUAUCAGCCAGUCGUGCUGUGAAUCGGUGGACCCUCAUUUUUUACCUGAGUUUGGAGUAGCACAAGACACACCUGAGCCAAAAACUGCUAACUUAAAUCAAAACAGUAGUCCAUCAGCUGAGCUCCCAUUCAAAGACUUUUCUCAGGAUUUUACAGAAUCAGCCUUUGAAUUAAGAACCUCUCAUUUAUCUCCUUCACCUUCACCCACAGAUUUAUUAUCUAAUUUAAGAGAAACACCAGACUCCCCUGAGCUUAGUCAUAGGUCCUCCUGCUCUGACACUCAGGCUUCAUCUCCUUUCCCUGAGCUACGAGGGAGGAUCUCUUUACCUGAUCUCUUCAGCAGAGGCUCUACGCCUGAGAUAAAAGAUUCUCCCCACACAUCAGGUCCCUCUACUGCAGAAAGAGAAACAGCAGCUACUCCUGAAAGCCAAAGGUUAUCAGUGGAAGCAGGCAGUUCUGUUUCCACUCCUGGCCCACGAUACACCCCUCCCUCACCUGUUAUUUCAAAAGCAUCAUCGCCUGAGCUUGUGGAGGGUUCGGUCUCACCUGAUUUCAGAAACACAGCUCCCUCGCCUGGCCUGCUCAGCGCUACCUGUCUGACCAGACCUGGGUCAACAACUCCCUCUCCUGAACGCUCACUAGAAAUACGACAGGUACCUUCCCCUGUGGUAAGUUAUAGUUUAUCUCCUUCACCUGCAUUUAGAGACAACUGCUCUCCCAUCGAGCACAGAUAUACUUCUCCCUCACCUGAAAUCAGGAUUACAGCCUCGUCUCCUGAGGUUGGCAGGAAAGAGCGACCUUUAUCAGCUUCUCCUCUGCUGGAGCCUCUCUUCGACACAUCCCCAACAAGAAGCCUCACUUCCUCCCCUCACAUCACAGGAAUUUCUUACUCUGUUGUUCAACCCGAAGACAGGAGCAGUCCCCCAUUUCCUGAACUCUCUCGUCUCCCCGUCCCAGAGCCAGAUAAUACACCCAUCCCCUCUGAAGAAAGGAGCCUCACCACAAGCAGAGACGAUAUAGCAGAGUCGACUGGCUGCUUCACAAGCUCUGCCCCAGAGACUGAAAAAACUCUGCUACAUCAUCCCAGGCACCAAACACCUUCACCUCAGCCAAAUCAUCGAACUCCCUCACCUGAACCAAGAUUUCAAAGUCCUUCACCUCAGCACAAAAGUAGAGAUCCAUCACCUGCUGCCUCUCCGCACAGGUGUCAGCUAUCACCAGCAACCCUCUCUGCAGACUGCAACCUUCCCCUUGGAUUAAAUACCCUUUCGAGUGAUAGGGACUCUUCUUCAGCAGUUAUCACAGAAACACAGUCUCCCACAUAUUUGAGAAAAGAGAGGGUGCCACCCUCAUUUGAGACAGUAACAAGGGACAAAUCUCCACCUUUGGUUGCUGAAAUCAAAGGCAGUUCACCAGCUCCUCUGCCUUUACCUCCUUUACCUAUUUUACCAGAUAGAAAGUUAGAUUGCCCACUAAAACUGCAAAGGGAAGAGAGAGAAGAAACAUCAGAGGAAGUAAAUAUAGAGGAUAAAUCAGGUGCAGCUUCUUUCCCUCAGGAAAAAACAGAUAUUCAUCCGCUCUUUUUUCAGAGAGAAGACACUGAUAAUAAUCUCCCUUCUGAAAUCAACUGUCCUUCUCCUAAUCUUCUAGUCCCCAAGGACAGGAGUCCAAACCUCUCACCUGUUCACGGGGCUAAAUCAAAUUCACCUGCACAGCCUCUGUUUGCUGCUCAUUCCCCAACUUCUGACAGUAGCAGCUCUUUAAAAUCUACAUCUGAGACCUCAAGAGGACAGCUGUUAACCAAAGUUAGACCUGAAAACAGAGAGAGGUUCACAGAGGACAUGUCCCACCAUGCAAACAGAAGGCGGACCCCCUCCCCGCCACUCACCAGGUUUACACCUGUCCACAUCAUUGCCCCUGAGAAACCAUACAGACAGUGGCAGAACAGAAGCCGCAGUCCCACUCAUGUUGGCGCAUCCUCACCUAGCGGCAAUUUAAAGAAGGCGGUGACAAAUAGGGAAAGCCCCGACAAUAAUAGCCAGGCCCACUGGGUCAGCCUAGGAAGGCAAUUGGAAAUGGAAAGGGGAAUGCCACUGGAGCAGGAGAGGCAGAGAGGCAGAGAGAGGCAAAAGGAUAGGGAGAUGGAAAGAAAUAGGAAGAGGGAGGAGCAGGUUCCUGAAACGGAAGAGGAGGGGUUGCAGGGGGACACCAGUUACAGAGGGGAACAGGUUGAGCUGUCAUUCAGUGCCAGGAAUAGAAAAGGACCUGCGAGUCGCGGUGCAGCUCCCACAAGCAGAGAGACCCGACAAGGGUUGCCAACAGCGCAUUCCUAUUCGGAGAGCUCGUCUGCCACAAGACAGCAACAACAGAGUGUUCAUAGACUCACUUCACAACAAGACACCAGGGGUUGUUCUGCCAUCAGACGACCUCAACCCCCUGCACCCCGAGCCAAGAGCAGUGCUCCCGGACGUGUGGCCUCAUACAGGCCCGGCCGAAGUUCCAGCUCCAGCAUGGGGAGUGAACUUGACGAGGCAGACAAUGAGGUGAAGUGGUUUACAGAUGUGGCUUUCCGCAGCCUGUCAAGCCCUGAUAUAGAUUACCUUGACAUGUACAACUCAAGCCACCACUCAUCCGCAAACAUCUCCCAGCCAUCUACCCAGGAGAGCCCGGCUGGGAUCGGCACUGCCUGGCAAGCCUAUGCUGACUUCAGAGGUUCUGUGCCAAAGUUGGACCAUGAUGAACUCUCCUCCCAGCAACCAUCUGCAUACUUCUCAGAUGGCUUAGAUCCAUCUAGGCGCUAUGAACUGGGCAGCUUUGAAUGCGUAGAUGUGGCUGUGGAAAGGGAGGACUCCAGGAAGCUGAGGAGAGGAGUCCCAAAGAGACAGAUCCAGCUGAAAAAGAGGAAUGAUGCUGAUGGGAAGCAAGACGGAAGCAGUGGAAAUAGCAGUCCUGGGCUAGCAAGCAUGGUGGAAAGCAACUCCCAGGCAAGUCAAUCGAGAGGGACGUUUGUGAGGCAACACAGUACACCAGCAGCAAUGCACGAGCACUACCCCUCUGACCACAGCCCUGAGCCCCAUCUUCCCAAUGUCAGAAAAUCCCAACUCCAGAAAUCUGCUUCUAUGGAUGAAACAUGCACUAAAACUCAGAUGGCUUCUUGCCUGAUCAAGAAUGUGUUGUCCAAAAAGAUGCAAAGUGCUGAUAAACAACCUGACGAACAAGCAGGCGAAGGAUUGAGCCCCACAUUUGAGAAGAGCAGUCCACCAGCUGAGAGUCAAGUGGCACCACUUAAAGAAUCACCAAGACCAGACAUACAUGACCUAAGUUCCAGUUUUCAAUCGGAUUAUAGCCUUUCAUCAGAGAGUAUUCCCAUGAGAGGGGAACCAAGCGCCAAGGAUGAAGCUAAACCACCCAGAAGCUUUGGUGUGAGAUCUAGUAACAGGCCGAGUUCAUCCAGCAGCUGCAGGAGUGUUACCUUUUCCCUGACUGACAGUGAAGAGGCCGAUUCUCAAAGCAGGAAUGCAGCGUUGUCGCGAUCUGAAAUGCGAUCAGAACUGAAGGUGCCAUUCGAUAGUAAGCAGCGCAGAAGUGGAGAACAACAAGCAGACUACAGCAAAACAUACAAAAGAGAGGGCGACAACUCAGCAAAUGCCACAGAAACUCCUUCUGCCGAUGCAGCCCACAGUGCACAGUUCAGACCAACAAAGAGAGAGGGCGUGUGUGAAAGCCGGGAGGAACCUAAACAGUUGCAACAGGGUGACAACGGCGCCUUCAUGUCUAAAACGCAAGAGAUCAAACUGAAAGCUGUGGGGAAAAAGAAAGCCUCUUUAAAUGUGUGUCUCACACCUGAAGCAGAAAACAAAUCUGAAAGUACUUCCCCAGAUAUAUUUUUUAGACAAAACACGGAUGAGAAAACAGAAGAAGAAGACGCAAACGAGAACAAUAAAGCAAAAGCCCCGCUUCACAAAGUUAGAGAUGUGAGGCGGCUCGUGAAGAAUACUUAUAAUCUGUCCUUUAAAGCAUCUAGUGCUGAAGAAAGUGUAGAAACUGCUGAUGAAAAACAUAAAGAAGAGGUCAUAGCAGCAGAGGAGAUGGAUUUAAGACAAGGGAUAAGGAGGGAGGAGAGGAGGGAGGAAAGAGCAGAGGAGUUCAUGCCGGAGAGGACGGAGGAAGAGAAGGAGGAGGUAAAAGACUCAAAAAUGUUAACCCCAUCUCCACCACCACACAGCAAAGGAAAGCCUCUGUCUGGUCCACAGCCAAUGCAAAUAGAAUACAAAGCUGUUUGCUUGAAGGAAGACAAAAAUAAACCAUUGCGUGUCAAAAAAGACUCAGGUGACAAACCCCAGGUUUUUUCAAAGCCCGUCACUGAUGUGAGCAGAGAAUCACAGUCUUUGAAUGCACCAAACAACACAGCGUCAGACACAGAAAUAUCCAGACCAUGUGAGCCUGAUGUAAACAUUACAGCAGAACCACAAGAGACACUGCCAGAAAUCCGCAAAGUUCCAGACAGUGAGGAUAAACCUGCGGUUGUAAGAACAGACAGGAAGCAUCACAUGCUUGGGAACCUCCCUAAAAUGCCCAGUAAGGAAAGAGAGGUGUCUACUGCUGUAGUGUUAAUCAGGGAAGGACCGAGCAAGACCAGGACAUCUGCAUCUCCCGCCCAGGAGAUGGAGAUCCAAACCCCAAUCCUAGCACAGCCUGCUUCAAUUUCACCUAAGCCCACUACCCCUGGUAGUGCCCCUGCUACUAGUGGCCACUCAGUGUCCAUGUUAUUAAAGGAGAAAGGCUACCAAGCUGACAUUGGAGCAGUUGUGGGUGACAGCCAGAAUGUAUCUGGAGUUAAAGGAGUUCCCCACAAGCAUGUGAACUCUCUGGAGAUCCCCCUUCAGAUCGUUGCUCCUUCUGACGGAGGUUGGAAUGAGUCUCAUAGAGAGAGGACAUUCUCCUCCUCUUCUACCACUUCUGUCCCCUCAGCAGUGUCUGACAGCACAGAUGCAACCACAAAAACCAGAGAAGAUGAGAGAGGUAGCAUAAAUCCUGCAGAAAAAGACACUGCAAAACUAAGGAGUUUUUCUCAGGAACAAGCCCCACCCCCUACCAAGCAGAGGGACGUGUCAGAUUUUGAAGCUGUAAAGAGAUUAGAUCCAACUUUCCCCCCGCGAUCCCCUGCAAUAAGGAAAUUCAAACCACAGCCGAUUCAGGUGAAAUCACUGUCUAAAGAACCACAGAAAAAAGACAUCCCCACAAGCUCUACUGGAAGCUCUACUGGAAACUCCAGUGGAAACAGCAGGCCUCAAACCAUUGAAGUUAAAUCCAUAGCUAAAAAUUCCCAAAAGCCAGUCGUGCCUCCAAAGCCGAACUGCAAAUUUAAACCUGCAGAUUUUGGCGUGACAUCAAAUGAAGCGCAUAGAUCGUCGGCAGCAACAUCAACUGCAAAGUCACAAAGUGACGAGAGGACUCAAACGAUUGUAGUGAGCUCGCCAACAAUCUACAGGAAGAUUUCCACUGACUCCACAUCAACAUCUAAUUUUUCAAGAAAACUAGCCGUGUCAGCAGUGUCCAGCCUCAAACCUCCGCCCAGCAAAACAACUUCAACUGCCAGCUCCAGUCUCUCAAACCAGUCAGCAGAACCUCCAGACUCAGAGGCUGCUAGUGACAGAGGGCAGAUGCAGCAACCAGCUGCCUCUCCUCAGACCGCCAGAUGUACACAAAAAGCUUUAACCUCAGUUCCAACAUCAGCCACCAGCUCAGGUGUAACCUCAGCUCCAGGUUCGGUUUCUGACCCGAUUGCAAGCCAAACUACCGUAUCCGCCUCAGCAGGAGUCAGCCAGCCAAGCCAGCCAAGCCAACCAAGCCAGCCGACUGUUAUGGAUCGCAACAGCCAGCUGCAGUAUCCCAGGGCAGCAAACCCUCAUCAACAACAAACUGUGCCACUAACUUCAAACAAUACAACACAGCCCACUGCUGUUUCCACAACACAACUGCCAAGAUAUACGCACCAGCCAUGCCACAGAUCUCUCUCCAGUGAGCGCUCACAGAGGACCAACGACCUGCAUUUUUAUGCCUCUGAUGACCCUCCAAGCUAUGAUGAACGAGAGAGCUUCAGUCCACUGACGCUCCCGGAUUUGACACCCUUGAGAUCAAAUCGAUUUCAGCCCUCCUCCCGUCCUCCUGCCUGCCCCUGCACAGCUGGUUGCCCCACUCACAUUGGUCUCCCCCCUCCUCACCAUCACCGAAGUCCCCAUAACCUCACCCCACCGGCCCCCACGCAUUCUCCGGGCCAGGCUCUACCUUACGCAGUGGCACAGCCUCCUCUUCGGCCCCACCAGUGCAGACCCGAUGCUCAGCCAAUGAGCUACCAGCCAGGCUCUCCCAAAUCAACCCCUUUUGGUCCAAACCAGCAGCCAACCAUGUACCAGCCUCUCCACCAGCCUGCUCCCUGCGCUCCUCACCCCUCACUCAUGCAGGCCUGCUCUGUGGACCGCUCGUUGCCCCCAACCCAGCACAUUGACCCUCGACGGCCUCCUGUGCACAGAUCCCCCCACCAGCAGCCACCGGGGCUGAUAACUGGGCCUCCUUACAGCGAUCCCAGCCACAAUCACUCCCCUGGCCUUCCCUCUAUGGAUCCUCAGUUUCUAUGUGGCACUCAAAGCAUGGCAGGGCCUUCCUAUGGCUCUGAAUAUGGGGGUGACAGCUCCAGUUUGUACUCAGAAAGCAGCUAUGGGCAGACACCUCGCAGAGUGCUCCUGGAUCCUGAAACAGGGAAGUACUUUUAUAUUGAGGUGCCUGUUCAGCCUCUGAGGAAGAUGCUGUUUGACCCAGAGACUGGCCAGUAUGUGGAAGUGCUCAUCCCACAGCAAACAAUGUCACAUUCAGGCCUGUAUCCGCCCUCCGCAGCCCCCUACCCACCCCUCCCUAACCCCAGCAUGUACGCCCCUGCUCCACAGUACAUGCCCUAUGCAGCUCCUGCUCCCCCAGCCCACCCUCAGGCCCAGCCCCAGCCACCCCGGUACCCUGAAGCAUCAGCUGCAGCAGCGAUGCACCCAAGCGGCUCCGGGGUCGGCUACAGAAAUCCCUCUGGUCAGGGUUCAAAGCCCGAGCCUCAGAAUCAUCCCCCAGUGGACCACAGCUACCUGGAGAGCAUGUAUUAUGUCCCUACAGGGAUGAAUACAAGCCCCAAUCCCACCCCACCAGACUAUUACCACAAACAUCCCCCCAACUUACCCCCAACAGGGGGGAAAAGGUCCUGAAAUAGAGGGUAGAGGCCGCCUUCCUGGAGCCUGUUAGGUUUAAAAUACACACUGUAUAAAUGGAGUGUCCAAUGUUAGCCUGUAAUGUUUUCACAUUGCAACUGAAGACAGCAAGUCUUUGGUUGUUUUAUUUUUUAUCUGCUGCCAUGUGCUAUGCCAAAUAGAUGACUCUUGGGUAUUCAAAAUGCAAACAAGAAGGCCUUGUGUUUGAGGCGCUCUUUAAAAGUACUAACAAAAAUGUGUAUGUAGGAUAAUCAGGUCGUACUCUAAAGUCACUAGUGAUGUGCAGACACUAUAAAUCCAUAGGUUUUUUGAUUAAUUGAGGUGUGUAUUUUCUCUACAAAUAUCUCAAAAAACGAAACAAACUUGAAAAUAGUGUUUUAAAAGAACCUCAUAUAUAUUUUAUGAUUGUGUUUCUCUUAAUUUGAUUAAGUUGGUGCACA